GAUCUCAAAUCAAGUAAGACUAC
Molecule: ribosomal RNA, 23 nt
Filed under: Mortierella alpina
Lineage: Eukaryota; Fungi; Mortierellomycota; Mortierellomycetes; Mortierellales; Mortierellaceae
Description: partial 28S ribosomal RNA
Source: RNAcentral